Long non-coding RNA from Ochotona princeps (American pika), 381 nucleotides. RefSeq lists it as uncharacterized. The transcript has 3 exons. The record is from RefSeq and is a predicted model, not a curated record. Lineage: Eukaryota; Metazoa; Chordata; Mammalia; Lagomorpha; Ochotonidae.
AUCAGUUUAACCCAAGAAGGCAUGCUCCAUUGAGUAUCCAGGUGAGGCAGACCAGAAGUCAACCUGUUUUCCAGAACCCUCUGAGUGUUUCUCUCAGGCUGAGCUCCUUAGCUCCCAGGGGCAUAUACUGGCACUACAUCUUGCAGUUCCUCUCUUCAUGAAGCUGAGUAGCAAGAGCAAGUUCCUGUCAGCCCUGCGGUCAUGAGUGGAUUCAUCCCAGUGUGCUGGGUGGCUGGUGGUUGAGGAAUACAGGCUAUGGACUUGUUUCAUAAAGGGAUUACCAUGGAUUUGUCUGGAGGUAGAAGUGAAAUAAAUGUGUUUAACCACUGAAAUGGCCAAGUACUUGGGAAUGGAUGUUCCCAAAGAAGCAACUGAGCUAAG